GAUGAAGAACGCAGCGAAAUGCGAUAAGUAGUGUGAAUUGCAGAAUUCCGUGAAUCAUCGAAUCUUUGAACGCACAUUGCGCCCUUUGGCCAUUCCAUUGGGCAUGCCUGUUCGAGCGUCAUUUCAACCCCUCGGGCCCUGGUGCCCGGCGUCGGGGCGCUUCCCACCCCCGGGAACCCCCCAGAAGCAGUGGCGGACCCGCCGCGGCUCCGAGCGCAGUAGUUAAUAUUUCUCGCUCAGGAGGCCCGCGGGGGGACUUCGGCCGUUAAACCGGACCCUCGCGUCCACGUACACACAAAGGUUGACCUCGGAUCAGGUAGGAAUACCCGCUGAACUUAAGCAUAUCAAUAAGCGGAGGA
RNAcentral lists this unclassified non-coding RNA (359 nucleotides) under soil metagenome. Its description in RNAcentral is "partial contains 5.8S ribosomal RNA, internal transcribed spacer 2, and large subunit ribosomal RNA". The stretch from base 1 to 121 matches the Rfam family "5.8S ribosomal RNA", at positions 35 to 154 of the family's 154-position model. The record is from RNAcentral.